AAUUCCCAAUACUAUCGAUACGGGUUGUGGGAGCAAGAUCCCGGAGAUGGAUUCUGAGACAUGAAUCCAGGCCCUACGGGGCGCAGCAGGCGCGCAAACUUUACAAUGCGAGCAAUCGUGAUAAGGAAACCCUGAGUGCCUGUCGAUGCAGGCUGUUCAUAUAUCUAAAUCAUAUGUGAAGAAAGGGCAGGGCAAGACCGGUGCCAGCCGCCGCGGUAAUACCGGCUGCUCGAGUGAUGGCCACUAUUACUGGGUUUAAAGCGUCCGUAGCUUGACUGUUAGGUCUCUUGGGAAAUCUUCGCGCUCAACGUGAAGGCGUCUAAGAGAUACCGGCAGUCUUGGAACUGGGAGAGGUAAACCGUACUUCGGGGGUAGGAGUGAAAUCUUGUAAUCCUCGAGGGACGACCUAUGGCGAAGGCAGUUUACCAGAACAGCUUCGACAGUGAGGG
This 449-nucleotide ribosomal RNA is filed under the name uncultured Methanocorpusculum sp. Its description in RNAcentral is "bacterial SSU rRNA". It matches the Rfam family "Archaeal small subunit ribosomal RNA", at positions 247 to 703 of the family's 1478-position model. The record is from RNAcentral. Lineage: Archaea; Methanobacteriati; Methanobacteriota; Methanomicrobia; Methanomicrobiales; Methanocorpusculaceae.